CUGAGUACGGCGGAACACGUGAAAUUCCGUCGGAAUCCGGGAGGACCAUCUCCCAAGGCUAAAUACUCCCUAGUGACCGAUAGUGAACCAGUACCGUGAGGGAAAGGUGAAAAGCACCCCGGAAGGGGAGUGAAACAGUUCCUGAAACCGUGUGCCUACAAGUAGUUAGAGCCCGUUAAUGGGUGAUAGCGUGCCUUUUGUAGAAUGAACCGGCGAGUUACGAUUUGUUGCAAGGUUAAGCGGAAAAAGCGGAGCCGUAGCGAAAGCGAGUCUGAAUAGGGCGCAUAAGUAACAGGUCGUAGACCCGAAACCAGGUGAUCUACCCAUGUCCAGGAUGAAGGUAAGGUAAUACUUACUGGAGGUCCGAACCCACGCACGUUGAAAAGUGCGGGGAUGAGGUGUGGGUAGCGGAGAAAUUCCAAUCGAACUUGGAGAUAGCUGGUUCUCUCCGAAAUAGCUUUAGGGCUAGCCUCGAGGUAAAGAGUCAUGGAGGUAGAGCACUGUUUGGACUAGGGGCCCUUCUCGGGUUACCGAAUUCAGAUAAACUCCGAAUGCCAUGUACUUAUACUCGGGAGUCAGACUGCGAGUGAUAAGAUCCGUAGUCGAAAGGGAAACAGCCCAGACCACCAGUUAAGGUCCCCAAAUAUAUGUUAAGUGGAAAAGGAUGUGGGGUUGCUUAGACAACCAGGAUGUUGGCUUAGAAGCAGCCACCAUUGAAAGAGUGCGUAAUAGCUCACUGGUCGAGUGACCCCGCGCCGAAAAUGUACCGGGGCUAAACAUAUUACCGAAACUGUGGAUGAACCUCUUUAGAGGUUCGUGGUAGGAGAGCGUUCUAAGGGCGGUGAAGUCAGACCGGAAGGACUGGUGGAGCGCUUAGAAGUGAGAAUGCCGGUAUGAGUAGCGAAAGAAGGGUGAGAAUCCCUUCCACCGAAUAUCUAAGGUUUCCUGAGGAAGGCUCGUCCGCUCAGGGUUAGUCGGGACCUAAGCCGAGGCCGAUAGGCGUAGGCGAUGGACAACAGGUAGAGAUUCCUGUACCAGUGCUAAUUGUUUAACCGAUGGGGUGACACAGAAGGAUAGGGAAUCGCACGAAUGGAAAUGUGCGUCCAAGCAGUGAGUGUGAGAAGUAGGCAAAUCCGCUUCUCGCGAAGCAUGAGCUGUGAUGGGGAAGGAAAUUAAGUACGGAAGUUCCUGAUUUCACGCUGUCAAGAAAAGCCUCUAGGAAGAGUAGUACUGCCCGUACCGCAAACCGACACAGGUAGAUGAGGAGAGAAUCCUAAGGUGAGCGAGAGAACUCUCGUUAAGGAACUCGGCAAAAUGACCCCGUAACUUCGGGAGAAGGGGUGCUCUAUUAGGGUGCAAGCCCGAGAGAGCCGCAGUGAAUAGGCCCAGGCGACUGUUUAGCAAAAACACAGGUCUCUGCAAAACCGUAAGGUGACGUAUAGGGGCUGACGCCUGCCCGGUGCUGGAAGGUUAAGAGGAGUGCUUAGCUUCGGCGAAGGUACGAAUUGAAGCCCCAGUAAACGGCGGCCGUAACUAUAACGGUCCUAAGGUAGCGAAAUUCCUUGUCGGGUAAGUUCCGACCCGCACGAAAGGCGCAACGAUCUGGGCACUGUCUCAACGAGAGACUCGGUGAAAUUAUAGUACCUGUGAAGAUGCAGGUUACCCGCGACAGGACGGAAAGACCCCGUGGAGCUUUACUGCAACCUGAUAUGGAAUGUUUGUACCGCUUGUACAGGAUAGGUAGGAGCCGAAGAGACGUGUGCGCUAGCAUACGAGGAGGCAAUGGUGGGAUACUACCCUGGCUGUAUGACCAUUCUAACCCGCCACGCUUAGCGCGUGGGGAGACAGUGUCAGGUGGGCAGUUUGACUGGGGCGGUCGCCUCCUAAAGAGUAACGGAGGCGCCCAAAGGUUCCCUCAGAAUGGAUGGAAAUCAUUCGCAGAGUGUAAAGGCACAAGGGAGCUUGACUGCGAGACUGACAAGUCGAGCAGGGACGAAAGUCGGGCUUAGUGAUCCGGUGGUUCCGCAUGGAAGGGCCAUCGCUCAACGGAUAAAAGCUACCCCGGGGAUAACAGGCUUAUCUCCCCCAAGAGUCCACAUCGACGGGGAGGUUUGGCACCUCGAUGUCGGCUCGUCGCAUCCUGGGGCUGUAGUCGGUCCCAAGGGUUGGGCUGUUCGCCCAUUAAAGCGGCACGCGAGCUGGGUUCAGAACGUCGUGAGACAGUUCGGUCCCUAUCCGUC
RNAcentral lists this ribosomal RNA (2240 nucleotides) under Listeria monocytogenes. RNAcentral's name for it is "partial 23S ribosomal RNA". It matches the Rfam family "Bacterial large subunit ribosomal RNA", at positions 408 to 2646 of the family's 2925-position model. Lineage: Bacteria; Bacillati; Bacillota; Bacilli; Caryophanales; Listeriaceae. The record is from RNAcentral.